UCUGAGUUUUGAGCAAUUAACUCUCCAACACAGGCUUUUAUCAAUACUUCUAGAUAUUAAUGUUGGGACAAGUAAGCAAUUUUUGGUUGAUUGGUUUGCGAAUUUGAACCAAUACUUGUUUCUUUACAUGUAAUUACGUUCGAUUUCAUAACUUUACAUGUUUGCCUAUAUAUUUCGUAUUUGUUAUUUUUUUGAUCUGCCUGUUCUACUUAGAAUACAAUUGCAGUGGCAAAAACACUAAGGCUUG
Molecule: unclassified non-coding RNA, 247 nt
Filed under: Hevea brasiliensis (rubber tree)
Lineage: Eukaryota; Viridiplantae; Streptophyta; Magnoliopsida; Malpighiales; Euphorbiaceae
Source: RNAcentral